CAUCUCCCUCUUUUAACCGUUCUCAACUCCGCCGCUCCACCCUCCCCCCUUCCCUCUUCAUCUCUGAUUCUUACGUUUCUCAUCACUCUCUUUCUCUCUCCUCCGCUCCAAGCCCCGCUUCUCCCUUCAAUCUCGCCCUCUCCCUUCUAGAACCCGUGCCGCUCCCGAGGCCGUCAAGGCCCAAACCCUAGAACCGCCAACUGGAACCCUAGACGCUGGCUUCCAGGGAUCUGAUGAGGCUUCCCUUCUCUCCGCUGGCACCGAUGCGGAAAAGGAAUCUGAGGUUGAUAGGAGGAAUAUAAAGCUAUCAAGUGGCUUGAGAUCGAGAUUGGCUACAAGAAUCUGAAGGGACAUUGAUCCCUGCAAACCCUACCAUGACGAAAGCAGCUCCGAGGUACUC
Long non-coding RNA from Asparagus officinalis (garden asparagus), 400 nucleotides. RefSeq lists it as uncharacterized. Lineage: Eukaryota; Viridiplantae; Streptophyta; Magnoliopsida; Asparagales; Asparagaceae. The transcript has 4 exons. The record is from RefSeq and is a predicted model, not a curated record.